GCAAGUCGAGCGGUAGAGAGAAGCUUGCUUCUCUUGAGAGCGGCGGACGGGUGAGUAAUGCCUAGGAAUCUGCCUGGUAGUGGGGGAUAACGUUCGGAAACGGACGCUAAUACCGCAUACGUCCUACGGGAGAAAGCAGGGGACCUUCGGGCCUUGCGCUAUCAGAUGAGCCUAGGUCGGAUUAGCUAGUUGGUGAGGUAAUGGCUCACCAAGGCGACGAUCCGUAACUGGUCUGAGAGGAUGAUCAGUCACACUGGAACUGUAGACACGGUCCAGACUCCUACGGGAGGCAGCAGUGGGGAAUAUUGGACAAUGGGCGAAAGCCUGAUCCAGCCAUGCCGCGUGUGUGAAGAAGGUCUUCGGAUUGUAAAGCACUUUAAGUUGGGAGGAAGGGCAGUUACCUAAUACGUGAUUGUUUUGACGUUACCGACAGAAUAAGCACCGGCUAACUCUGUGCCAGCAGCCGCGGUAAUACAGAGGGUGCAAGCGUUAAUCGGAAUUACUGGGCGUAAAGCGCGCGUAGGUGGUUAGUUAAGUUGGAUGUGAAAUCCCCGGGCUCAACCUGGGAACUGCAUUCAAAACUGACUGACUAGAGUAUGGUAGAGGGUGGUGGAAUUUCCUGUGUAGCGGUGAAAUGCGUAGAUAUAGGAAGGAACACCAGUGGCGAAGGCGACCACCUGGACUGAUACUGACACUGAGGUGCGAAAGCGUGGGGAGCAAACAGGAUUAGAUACCCUGGUAGUCCACGCCGUAAACGAUGUCAACUAGCCGUUGGGAGCCUUGAGCUCUUAGUGGCGCAGCUAACGCAUUAAGUUGACCGCCUGGGGAGUACGGCCGCAAGGUUAAAACUCAAAUG
Molecule: ribosomal RNA, 856 nt
Filed under: Pseudomonas veronii
Lineage: Bacteria; Pseudomonadati; Pseudomonadota; Gammaproteobacteria; Pseudomonadales; Pseudomonadaceae
Description: bacterial SSU rRNA
Rfam family: Bacterial small subunit ribosomal RNA
Source: RNAcentral